UACGUAGGUGACCAGCGUUGUCCGGAUUUAUUGGGCGUAAAGAGCGCGUAGGCGGCUAUCCACGUCGGAUGUGAAAACUCGGGGCUCAACCCCGAGCCUGCAGUGGAUACGGGCGGACUAGAGUGCGGUAGGGGAGACUGGAAUUCCUGGUGUAGCGGUGAAAUGCGCAGAUAUCAGGAGGAACACCGGUGGCGAAGGCGGGUCUCUGGACCGAUACUGACACUGAGGAGCGAAAGCGUGGGGAGCGAACAGG
Molecule: ribosomal RNA, 253 nt
Filed under: uncultured bacterium
Lineage: Bacteria
Description: partial 16S ribosomal RNA
Rfam family: Bacterial small subunit ribosomal RNA
Source: RNAcentral